RNAcentral lists this ribosomal RNA (394 nucleotides) under uncultured Rhizophagus. RNAcentral describes it as "partial 28S ribosomal RNA". The record is from RNAcentral. Lineage: Eukaryota; Fungi; Glomeromycota; Glomeromycetes; Glomerales; Glomeraceae.
GUGAAAUUGUUGAAAGGGAAACGAUUGAAGCCAGUCGUACCGACGGAGGAUCAACCUUUGAAAGCGGGUCGAGGUAUUCGAGGAGUUUAAAAGCCCUCUUGCGCUCACGUACUUCGUUUUCUUUGGUGCACUUCUUCGUAUGGUAGGUUAACAUCAAUUUUGGACGUUACAAAAAGAUCGGGGGAAUGUAGCUUCGAUUUUUUCAAAGUGUUAUAGCCCUUGGUAGAUGUGACGACCGGGAUUGAGGAUUGCAACGAAUGCUUUCGGGCUAUCCGUCUGACCUCUGGUGGUUGCUUUAGGGUCGAAAGCGUGCUUACGACUUUUAAGUUGGCUAUCAAAAGGCUAGAACGUGAUUAAAUUCGUUAAGGAUGUUGACGUAAUGGCUUUAAACGAC